CAUAUCAUAAGCGGAGGAAAAGAAACUAACAAGGAUUCCCCUAGUAACUGCGAGUGAAGCGGGAAAAGCUCAAAUUUAAAAUCUGGCAGUCUUUGGCUGUCCGAGUUGUAAACUAGAGAAGUGUUAUCCGCGCUGGACCGUGUACAAGUCUCCUGGAAUGGAGCGUCAUAGAGGGUGAGAAUCCCGUCUUUGACACGGACUACCAGGGCUUUGUGAUGCGCUCUCAAAGAGUCGAGUUGUUUGGGAAUGCAGCUCAAAAUGGGUGGUAAAUUCCAUCUAAAGCUAAAUAUUGGCGAGAGACCGAUAGCGAACAAGUACCGUGAGGGAAAGAUGAAAAGAACUUUGGAAAGAGAGUUAAACAGUACGUGAAAUUGCUGAAAGGGAAACGCUUGAAGUCAGUCGCGUUGUCCAGGGAUCAACCUUGCUUUUGCUUGGUGUACUUCCUGGUUGACGGGUCAGCAUCAAUUUUGACUAUUGGAAAAAGAUUAGGGGAAUGUGACAUCUUCGGAUGUGUUAUAGCCCUUGGUUGUAUGCAAUGGUUGGGAUUGAGGAACUCAGCACGCCGCAAGGCCGGGUUUUUAACCACGUACGUGCUUAGGAUGCUGGCAUAAUGGCUUUAAUCGACCCGUCUUGAAACACGGACCAAGGAGUCUAACAUGCCUGCGAGUGUUUGGGUGGAAAACCCGAGCGCGUAAUGAAAGUGAAAGUUGAGAUCCCUGUCGUGGGGAGCAUCGACGCCCGGACCAGACCUUUUGUGACGGCUCCGCGGUAGAGCAUGUAUGUUGGGACCCGAAAGAUGGUGAACUAUGCCUGAAUAGGGUGAAGCCAGAGGAAACUCUGGUGGAGGCUCGUAGCGAUUCUGACGUGCAAAUCGAUCGUCAAAUUUGGGUAUAGGGGCGAAAGACUAAUCGAACCAUCUAGUAGCUG
This 927-nucleotide ribosomal RNA is filed under the name Cortinarius pholiotellus. Its description in RNAcentral is "LSU rRNA". It matches the Rfam family "Eukaryotic large subunit ribosomal RNA", at positions 39 to 953 of the family's 3401-position model. Lineage: Eukaryota; Fungi; Basidiomycota; Agaricomycetes; Agaricales; Cortinariaceae. The record is from RNAcentral.